AUUGAACGCUGGCGGCAGGCCUAACACAUGCAAGUCGAGCGAGCGGCGGACGGGUGAGUAAUGUAUGGGGACUGCCCGAUAGAGGGGGAUAACUCCUGGAAACGGUAGCUAAUACUGCAUACUAUGGGAUAACACAUAUGGGAUUAGCUAGUAGGUGAGGUAAUGGCCCACCUAGGCGACGAUCCCUAGCUGGUCUGAGAGGAUGAUCAGCCACACUGGGACUGAGACACGGCCCAGACUCCUACGGAGGCAGCAGUUGGGAAUAUUGCACAAUGGGCGCAAGCCGGAUGCAGCCAUGCCGCGUGUGUGAAGAAGGCCCUAGGGUUGUAAAGGACUUUCAGUCGGGAGGCGUUACCGACAGAAGAAGCACCGGCUAACUCCGUGCCAGCCGCCGCGGUAAUUC
RNAcentral lists this ribosomal RNA (403 nucleotides) under uncultured bacterium. RNAcentral describes it as "partial 16S ribosomal RNA". It matches the Rfam family "Bacterial small subunit ribosomal RNA", at positions 30 to 526 of the family's 1533-position model. The record is from RNAcentral.